Molecule: long non-coding RNA, 1587 nt
Organism: Gadus macrocephalus (Pacific cod)
Lineage: Eukaryota; Metazoa; Chordata; Actinopteri; Gadiformes; Gadidae
Exons: 2
Source: RefSeq, a predicted model, not a curated record
UCGGUAUUUCUGUCUGGCAUCUGUCUGUCUUUUUGACCACACAUGUCUGUUUGUGUGUAUUUCAUGUGGACUGUUGUAGUCUGUUAGUCAUGACAAAAAUGAUACAACAUCACCUAAAAACAAGCCGUUACAACUCAGCAAUUCCUAUAUUAUUAUUGAAAUUGCUCUUUAUAUACAGCAAGCGUCACAUGAUAUUACUUUAAUCGAUAAUCUCUUAAUCGCAUUGAAAUAAUCACAAAUUCAGAUAAAAUAAUCCCAAUAAUAAUAUGUCCUAAUAUUGUAGCCCUUCUGUCUUGGUGAUUGUUUAAAUGCUCUACAACAUUGUGCUUUCAGUUCCAGCCAUGAAGAAGUCGUUCAGAAUAAAGCUCAGCUCGGCAGACAUCGACCCCAAUGACCCUGAAUGGAGCGAGGCGAUCCUGAAACAGUUGCACGGGAAGCUGAAGGAGAAGAUGGUGAACAACGACUUCAAUCUGACUUGGACGAAGGCCCCAGAUGGAGAGAUCUUCCACAACACACGCAAAGACGAGAAACAACAACAUCCUUAAUUUGCAGAUGAAAGAUGUCCUCCAAAGGUUGAUUAACCUAGCUGUGACGAUAACAGUCAGUUAGCACCUUGUUCUACAGCAACCUCUUCAACUAACCCACUGCUUCCCACCCUGUUUUGCCCUCUCACCUGAUUUUAGCGUUGUUUUAAUCAAAAUCUGGGACCUGCACUCUACUGAGUGGUUAGGAGUAGCCUAGCCUACUUGUGUCUAUGAAGGCGGGUAUUUUGGGACCUGCGUGAGACCUCUACAUUUUUAUCAUGAAUUUUUUUUAAUAUAAAAUGUACCAGUGUAUAACUCUCGCUUAUAAAUCAGAAAUGUCCCCCGACCCCAUGUGUGGCCCACACAAGUGGGGUCCCGACCCAUAGGUUGGGAACCUUUGAACUCCCUAUCUAUACUAUCCUAUAGGCCUACUAUACUAUGUAGCAUGGCGUUACGUAGGUCUGAAAAUUAGAAACUCCUGAAACAGCUGAAACAGCUCCAGCAUAGACCAGUUUUAUAUUAUUGAUAAAUAAUGAUGAGAAUAGCGAGCUGGAUUGGACCCAGACAAUCAAAUGAGUCCAAUCUGAUCAUAUGUAAUAAUCUCUCUCUGUCUCCACAAUGUUUGAUACUGGCGGCCAUGCAAAGUCUUCCUUUGACUCAAACUGCACGGUCCAAGAUACCCCUCCCUUCCUCCCCCUGUCUCGUCUGUCUCAGCGUUAGUUGGACUAUGGAGGAGGACUUGGUAUUGAUUUGCCCGUAACCAAACUUCAAAACCUGAUGCAAACAAAGAUAUUGACCCGUACAGCCAAGAGGUUGAAAUGGAAUUCAAAAUCCAAUUCAAUCCAAUGAAUAUAGUUUAGUAGAACAUAAUUUAUUAAUAUUGGAAGGAUAGUGUAGUGGUUGGGGUCUUGGACUCUCAUCUGAAGGGUUCUUGGUUCAACGUCCACAGUUCUACUGUAGGACUCCUACAUCAAGAUGCUCCCUAACCUCUACCCCAUGAUCUGUAACCAAAUGAACUUUUGUUUUAUGCGAUGAGAUGACAAGUAGAUGUGUGGUUAGUUAU